UCUUCAAACUGACUUCCAGCCCAAAAAGCUCAGCAGCCUCUGCAAAGCAAGAUGUCAAACACUGCAGAGCUAUUUCUGUGUGGGCGACAAGGGUGGCAUCGUCAGCAUAAAGCAGCUCACGGACAAGAUGAUUUAAGGUCUUAGUGUGGGUCUUCAGUCGCCUUAGGUUGAAUAGGUUCCCAUCGGUACAAUGUCGAAUGUAGAUACCGUUUUCAUCAUUGAGGUCUGCCGUAGCCCUUUGGAGCAUCAUGCUGAAGAAGACUGUGAAUAAAGUUGGUACAAGAACGCAGCCUUGCUUCACACCAUUGGUUAUU
Empidonax traillii (willow flycatcher) is the source of this 314-nucleotide long non-coding RNA. RefSeq lists it as uncharacterized. Lineage: Eukaryota; Metazoa; Chordata; Aves; Passeriformes; Tyrannidae. The transcript is spliced from 2 exons. The record is from RefSeq and is a predicted model, not a curated record.